Molecule: ribosomal RNA, 828 nt
Filed under: uncultured bacterium
Lineage: Bacteria
Description: bacterial SSU rRNA
Rfam family: Bacterial small subunit ribosomal RNA
Source: RNAcentral
AGAGUUUGAUCCUGGCUCAGGACGAACGCUGGCGGCGUGCCUAAUACAUGCAAGUCGAGCGAACCCUUCGGGGUUAGCGGCGGACGGGAGAGUAACACGUGGGUAACCUGCCUGUAAGACUGGGAUAACUUCGGGAAACCGGAGCUAAUACCGGAUAACAUUUCGCUUCGCAUGAAGCGAAAUUAAAAGAUGGUUCUGCUAUCACUUACAGAUGGACCCGCGGCGCAUUAGCUAGUUGGUGAGGUAACGGCUCACCAAGGCCACGAUGCGUAGCCGACCUGAGAGGGUGAUCGGCCACACUGGGACUGAGACACGGCCCAGACUCCUACGGGAGGCAGCAGUAGGGAAUCUUCCGCAAUGGACGAAAGUCUGACGGAGCAACGCCGCGUGAGCGAUGAAGGCCUUCGGGUCGUAAAGCUCUGUUGUUAGGGAAGAACAAGCACCAGUUAACUGCUGGUACCUUGACGGUACCUAACCAGAAAGCCACGGCUAACUACGUGCCAGCAGCCGCGGUAAUACGUAGGUGGCAAGCGUUGUCCGGAAUUAUUGGGCGUAAAGCGCGCGCAGGCGGUUUCUUAAGUCUGAUGUGAAAGCCCCCGGCUCAACCGGGGAGGGUCAUUGGAAACUGGGGAACUUGAGUGCAGAAGAGGAGAGUGGAAUUCCACGUGUAGCGGUGAAAUGCGUAGAGAUGUGGAGGAACACCAGUGGCGAAGGCGACUCUCUGGUCUGUAACUGACGCUGAGGCGCGAAAGCGUGGGGAGCGAACAGGAUUAGAUACCCUGGUAGUCCACGCCGUAAACGAUGAGUGCUAGGUGNUUANAGGGUUUC